Molecule: non-coding RNA, 25 nt
Filed under: Gossypium hirsutum (cotton)
Lineage: Eukaryota; Viridiplantae; Streptophyta; Magnoliopsida; Malvales; Malvaceae
Source: RNAcentral
UUUAUCGUGGGUGCUCUUUAAAAAA